Molecule: long non-coding RNA, 1120 nt
Organism: Callithrix jacchus (white-tufted-ear marmoset)
Lineage: Eukaryota; Metazoa; Chordata; Mammalia; Primates; Cebidae
Source: Ensembl
AUGACACACUUAUACUCUAACUUUUUUUUUUUUUUCCCGAGACAGAGCCUUGCUUUGUUGCCCAGGCUGGAGUGCAGUGGCACAAUCUCAGCUCACUGCAGCCUCCACUUCCUGGAUUCAAGCAAUUCUCCUGCCUCAGCCCCAAGUAGCUGGGAUUACAGCAAAGAGAAUGUUUCCAGCUGCAAGAGAGAGCUAUCAGAGAGUCUGGCCUGCUGAUUACACUGUUUAAAAUCCCAGAUGAGCAAUUCUUCUGGUCUUCAAUAUGGCUAAACAAGACAUUUGACUUUUUUGAGUAGGUACAUCCAAACAUUAUUGGUUGAUCGAAAACUAAUCAAUGUUAACUGAACUCACAAAUGGCUGAAUUAUACCCAGAUUAAUCACGUAUUAAAAUAAGGGAUGUGCUUUUCUGGUGAACAAACAGUUCUGCCCAUCUUCAAAAGUUUUUUUUAUUGCUUUAUUUAUUUAUUAGCUUUGUAUGCUUUGUUCAAGCAACUGUGUGUUUUGUUUUGUUUUUAUGGACAACCAACAUAUAACAGAAAAUGAAGCUGCUAUGAUUGAAGAUAAACAACAGACCUGCCCAGCCUCAAGCUCCCCUUCCUUUCCUUUCCUUGAGAUGUUCCCUAAGAGGGCUCUUUAGAAUCCCCAAGACUUCAAAGAAUACAGUUUAACACCAACUUAUCUGAUGGUACCAAAUGGAUAAGCAGGUUGUUUGGUGAGCCUAGACCUGAAGCAAACAAAAUUAGAGGAAUACUACAUCCAAAUUCUGGGAAAUGUCUGAUGAGUUUUUUCUAGUUCCACAAUAGUAUACGCCUAUCUGAGAGAUAGGAAUCUGCAUUCCUGAUAGAAAGAAUCACUCUGCCUUCAACAGUGCUAAACAAUAGUGGGCCAGUAAACCAGCUUGCUGAAAACAAACAAAAUAACCCAAAAAGCCCUGGCUACAGCAAUUUGGCAUUUUCUGUGGUGUAAAACACUCUCACAGUGGUCUGUCAACAGAAUUUAACAACAGCUGGCAAAAAUUUCCUGAAUGUUUGUCAGUUCUUGUAAACCUGUACUAGCUGCCUUUAGCACACACUGGCAGAAAACCCCUAACUAAUUCUGGUUAUAUGUGUGUUCCACACAG